This 421-nucleotide ribosomal RNA is filed under the name Arthroleptis wahlbergii (Wahlberg's forest frog). Its description in RNAcentral is "partial 16S ribosomal RNA". It matches the Rfam family "Bacterial large subunit ribosomal RNA", at positions 2024 to 2605 of the family's 2925-position model. Lineage: Eukaryota; Metazoa; Chordata; Amphibia; Anura; Arthroleptidae. The record is from RNAcentral.
UUUUUACAAUCAGUGAAACUGAUCUUCCCGUGAAGAAGCGGGAAUUAUUCUAUAAGACGAGAAGACCCCAUGAAGCUUCAAAUAAGUAUCAACUGUUAACCUUACACCACCAGAUACCCAAUAGCUAUGACUACUAAUUUUUGGUUGGGGCGACCGCGGAGCAAAACAAAACCUCCACAAUGAAAAGACCUAAUCCCAUUAUUCAAGAACAACUGUUCUAACAAUCAACACAUUGACAUAAUUGACCCAAACCCCCCCCCCUUGAUCAAUGAACCAAGUUACUCUGGGGAUAACAGCGCUAUCUAUUUCAAGAGUACAUAUCGACAAAUGGGUUUACGACCUCGAUGUUGGAUCGGGGUAUCCCAGUGGUGCAGCCGCUACUAAAGGUUCGUUUGUUCAACGAUUAAAACCCCACGUGAUC